CGUGUGCGUGCGCGUGUGCGUGUGCGUGUGCGUGUGUGUGUGUGUGUACACACACACACACACACACACACACACACACACACACAGACACACA
This 94-nucleotide microRNA precursor is filed under the name Tetraodon nigroviridis (spotted green pufferfish). RNAcentral describes it as "miRNA (ENSTNIG00000020218.1)". Lineage: Eukaryota; Metazoa; Chordata; Actinopteri; Tetraodontiformes; Tetraodontidae. The record is from RNAcentral.